GAUGAAGAACGCAGUGAAAUGCGAUAAGUAGUGUGAAUUGCAGAAUUCAGUGAAUCAUCGAAUCUUUGAACGCACAUUGCGCCCUUUGGUAUUCCAAAGGGCAUGCCUGUUCGAGCGUCAUUUGUACCCUCAAGCUUUGCUUGGUGUUGGGCGUCUUGUCUCUAGCUUUGCUGGAGACUCGCCUUAAAGUAAUUGGCAGCCGGCCUACUGGUUUCGGAGCGCAGCACAAGUCGCACUCUCUAUCAGCAAAGGUCUAGCAUCCAUUAAGCCUUUUUUUCAACUUUUGACCUCGGAUCAGGUAGGGAUACCCGCUGAACUUAAGCAUAUCAAUAACGGAGGA
Molecule: unclassified non-coding RNA, 340 nt
Filed under: soil metagenome
Description: partial contains 5.8S ribosomal RNA, internal transcribed spacer 2, and large subunit ribosomal RNA
Rfam family: 5.8S ribosomal RNA (bases 1-120)
Source: RNAcentral